GUGGGGAAUCUUCCGCAAUGGACGAAAGUCUGACGGAGCGACGCCGCGUGAGUGAAGAAGGCCUUCGGGUCGUAAAGCUCUGUCAUCAGGGACGAACGGCCGGUGGAGUGGAAAGCCACCGGAUUGACGGUACCUGAGAAGGAAGCCACGGCUAACUACGUGCCAGCAGCCGCGGUAAUACGUAGGUGGCAAGCGUUGUCCGGAAUUAUUGGGCGUAAAGCGCGCGCAGGUGGGAUCUUAAGUCCAUUUUUAAAGUUCGGAGCUCAACUCCGUGAUGGGAUGGAAACUGGGAUUCUUGAGUACCGGAGAGGAAAGCGGAAUUCCCCGUGUAGCGGUGAAAUGCGUAGAUAUGGGGAGGAACACCAGUGGCGAAGGCGGCUUUCUGGACGGUGUCUGACACUGAGGCGCGAAAGCUAGGGGAGCGAACGGGAUUAGAUACCCCUGUAGUCC
Molecule: ribosomal RNA, 450 nt
Filed under: uncultured bacterium
Lineage: Bacteria
Description: partial 16S ribosomal RNA
Rfam family: Bacterial small subunit ribosomal RNA
Source: RNAcentral